Long non-coding RNA from Boleophthalmus pectinirostris (great blue-spotted mudskipper), 1127 nucleotides. RefSeq lists it as uncharacterized. NCBI's taxonomy places the organism in Eukaryota, Metazoa, Chordata, Actinopteri, Gobiiformes, Gobiidae. The transcript is spliced from 8 exons. The record is from RefSeq and is a predicted model, not a curated record.
ACGCGGGAUGAGUGCGGGGGAGGGGUUCUGUGUCUGUCAUCCACUUUUUCCAUCUCUUGCAGAAAAGCAGUUUUGUUUUGCUUUUGUUUUUUUCAAACUUACUUGAUUUGAUUGUGUCCAACGAUACUUUCUAAUCGCUAGAGAUGAAGUGAACACCUCAGAUUUUCUUGCCGCAAAAUCCUUCAAAACUCAACAUAAACGUGAAAUCUUACCUUCUCGUGAUUAGGUGACGCUUCUCGGUUGGUUCGAUGAAUGAUAUGGUAAAAUCUCCUUGCAGGCUAUGAUCAACCCGCUGCACUUCCAUUAAUCACCACAAGAGGACGCCAAAACCGCAAUAAAGCCUGCAGGUUUAGUCGGAGACAUACUGAGGGAGGGGCCGUGGGUAUGGUCUGCAGUGAAUGCAGUAGAAAUCUUCAAUGUGUAGGAGAGGUUUGACCCUAAAGAGGACAAUGCCAGGCGACAAGAUGUAUUUCUGUGUCUGAAGUCAUACAUAGCCUAAACAGCCCCAGAUGCCAACCCCCAUCAACCCAGCCCAGAUACAGACCGCAUAUAAGGUCAAGCAUGAAGUUCAAGAGAGAGACCUGCAUCCAGCAUCCUCACAAGGAAUCCACAGAAGACGCCCAAAAUGCUUUGCUCUAGAGUGGUCAUGUUAGUACUGGCUCUGCACUGGUUGAUGGAAGAGAUAUCUGCUGCUGCCUUGAUGAAUAGAAACAAAAGAGAACUCAACUUGCAGGCUCUGGAGACUUUACCACAGCUACACUUGGAAGGGGAACUAUCCACAGGUGACAAAGUAGAGAUGGAGAGAGAUAAUAAUAAUGGACCCACACAGAUUCAGACUCCUCUUGCUCCAACCCAACAGCCUUCAACCCGGAACCAGUUUCAAUACAUCCGCAAAAAAAAUGAAAAGAGAAGAAAAGUCAUUCCUCUUGACUCACUUGGCCGGUUUAAGAUCUGAGCACUGGUAAAACAGACAAGACCUGCCAAGAUGAGCCCUGCUGGGACAUCUUCAACCCUCAAGAAGACAAACUGCUACUUAUAGUUUGUAGUAUCUUUGCUUCCUGUCUUGUGAUUGGCUAAUAAAAAAAGAAAAGAAGGGCUCCCUCUAGUGGAGAUGGCCAACAGGAGAU